This 381-nucleotide ribosomal RNA is filed under the name fungal sp. Cul1_44. RNAcentral's name for it is "eukaryotic LSU rRNA". It matches the Rfam family "Eukaryotic large subunit ribosomal RNA", at positions 38 to 422 of the family's 3401-position model. Lineage: Eukaryota; Fungi. The record is from RNAcentral.
GCAUAUCAAUAAGCGGAGGAAAGAAACCAACAGGGAUUGCCCCAGUAACGGCGAGUGAAGCGGCAACAGCUCAAAUUUGAAAUCUGGCCCCCAGGGUCCCGAGUUGUAAUUUGCAGAGGAUGCUUUGGUGAGGUCGCGCCCGAAUUCCCCGGGAAGGGACGCCCCAGAGGGUGAGAGCCCCGUUCGGGUGGCCACCCAGCCUCGGUAAAGCUCCUUUGGCGAGUCGAGUUGGUUGGGGAAGCUGCUCAAAAAGGGAGGUAUUUGUUUUUUAAAAGUAAAUAAUGGCCCGAGGCCGAUAGGGCCCAAGUAGAAGGAUUGAAAGAAGAAAAACCCCUUGAAAAGAGGGUUAAACCGUUCGGGAAAUUGGUGAAAGGGAAGGCA